Molecule: unclassified non-coding RNA, 655 nt
Filed under: Peltigera polydactylon
Lineage: Eukaryota; Fungi; Ascomycota; Lecanoromycetes; Peltigerales; Peltigeraceae
Description: sequence contains ITS1, 5.8S rRNA gene and ITS2
Rfam family: 5.8S ribosomal RNA (bases 259-413)
Source: RNAcentral
UUUCCGUAGGUGAACCUGCGGAAGGAUCAUUAUUGAGGGCGUAUGGAUUAAUAACCCCUACGAACCCCCAAUCCUUUGUUUAUUGUCCCUUUGUGGUUUGCUUUGGGCAUUAGCUGUGGACUAAAGAGACUAUGAACCCUGUGAGGGGGGAAUAGAUUUUUCUUGGUCUCAUACAAAAAAAGCACUUGGUUGCCCAGAAGACUACCUAAAUUAAAAUUCAAUAAUCUUUGAUGUCUGAAAAAUUGUAUAAACAAGCAAAACUUUCAACAACGGAUCUCUUGGUUCCGGCAUCGAUGAAGAACGCAGCGAAAUGCGAUAAGUAAUGUGGACCGCAGUACUCAGCGACUCAUCGAAUCUUUGAACGCAUAUUGCGCCCCUUGGUAAACCCAAUGGGCACACCUGUUCGAGCGUCAUUGAAGAUGUACAGGUCGUGGCCAGACUUGGUAUUUGAACUUGUCUGCUUUAGGCAGAAGUUUUAAAGUUAGUGAUGGUUCAGAUAGGUGUUCCAACGUAGUAAUAAUUAAAUCGUUGGUAAGAAUGCUUUUCUAAAACUAGUCAAAAGCCAUAUGAUAUCCCAGGGCUUCUGCUUGCGGAAACCUGGUUGGACGUCCCAAAUAUUGACCUCGGAUCAGGUGAGGAUACCCGCUGAAUUUAA